Vicugna pacos (alpaca) is the source of this 703-nucleotide non-coding RNA. NCBI's taxonomy places the organism in Eukaryota, Metazoa, Chordata, Mammalia, Artiodactyla, Camelidae. The record is from RefSeq and is a predicted model, not a curated record.
CGCGAGGUGCGGGGCGAGGAAACUUCCUGCAGCGCGUGGACGGAGUAGGCGCCCGCUGCGCAUGUGGGACCUGGUCCCUCUCACUCCCCGCUCCCGCGCGCGGGCUGCCGCGGGGUCGCGUUGCCGGUGCUCUCCGCUCUUCGGAAUCCUGCAAGGCCGGCCCCCGGGUUGCUGUUCUUCCCGGGGCGGAGAUUUGGGCGCAGCCCGGGUCGCACACAGCGCGCCUCCUUUCUCAGAAUGAAAAUGGAGGUUUUUACUAAGCACAGUGAAUGGUGAAGAUAGUUUACUGGAAAUUUUUGACUCUGGAGACUAAUUGAAAUCCACUAGAAUGCAUCCUCUGAAAACAAGUGAAAGGGACUGCUAAAAUGUGAUCCAUUGGAAGGGUCAAAUACAGAUUGCUUGCUACAUGUGAAGGAAUUAGCACUCCCAGGGACCAGUCCUCUACAAGUGACUUUUGCCUUUGGUAGGUAACUAUUCCAGCUCCCCUGCCCUUUGGAUGGGGGUAAUUCUGGGUCCUGAGUUUUGUGCCAUUUCCCAGAGUUUCCUCAUGAAAUUGAGGUCCAGUUGCCAACUAUGGUAACUGAUUUAACAGUAAAUCCUGCAUUAGCUCCUUCCCUUCCCUGUAGCUCUUCCUUUCUGCCUGAUUGGUUCUCUAGUAACCGAAUACCCAAAUCCAUUAUAUUGGAGUCUGCUUCUGGGGGAA